GCCCUCGUAGGCUAGUUAGGAUAGACUCGUGGACUGCGGAUCCAUGGACUCGGGUUCGAAUCCCGACGGGGGCG
RNAcentral lists this transfer RNA (74 nucleotides) under Methanococcus voltae. RNAcentral describes it as "tRNA-Arg". It matches the Rfam family "tRNA". Rfam says of the family: Transfer RNA (tRNA) molecules are approximately 80 nucleotides in length. Their secondary structure includes four short double-helical elements and three loops (D, anti-codon, and T loops). Lineage: Archaea; Methanobacteriati; Methanobacteriota; Methanococci; Methanococcales; Methanococcaceae. The record is from RNAcentral. RNAcentral also lists the same sequence under 2 other names.